This 260-nucleotide ribosomal RNA is filed under the name uncultured bacterium. Its description in RNAcentral is "partial 16S ribosomal RNA". It matches the Rfam family "Bacterial small subunit ribosomal RNA", at positions 95 to 353 of the family's 1533-position model. The record is from RNAcentral.
CCGGCGCACGGGUGAGUAACACGUAUCCAACCUGCCGUCUACUCUUGGACAGCCUUCUGAAAGGAAGAUUAAUACAAGAUGGCAUCAUGAGUCCGCAUGUUCACAUGAUUAAAGGUAUUCCGGUAGACGAUGAGGAUGCGUUCCAUUAGAUAGUAGGCGGGGUAACGGCCCACCUAGUCUUCGAUGGAUAGGGGUUCUGAGAGGAAGGUCCCCCACAUUGGAACUGAGACACGGUCCAAACUCCUACGGGAGGCAGCAUG